This 76-nucleotide transfer RNA is filed under the name Proteus mirabilis. Its description in RNAcentral is "tRNA-Gly". It matches the Rfam family "tRNA". Rfam says of the family: Transfer RNA (tRNA) molecules are approximately 80 nucleotides in length. Their secondary structure includes four short double-helical elements and three loops (D, anti-codon, and T loops). Further hydrogen bonds mediate the characteristic L-shaped molecular structure. tRNAs have two regions of fundamental functional importance: the anti-codon, which is responsible for specific mRNA codon recognition, and the 3' end, to which the tRNAs corresponding amino acid is attached (by aminoacyl-tRNA synthetases). tRNAs cope with the degeneracy of the genetic code in two manners: having more than one tRNA (with a specific anti-codon) for a particular amino acid; and 'wobble' base-pairing, i.e. permitting non-standard base-pairing at the 3rd anti-codon position. The record is from RNAcentral. Lineage: Bacteria; Pseudomonadati; Pseudomonadota; Gammaproteobacteria; Enterobacterales; Morganellaceae. RNAcentral also lists the same sequence under 12 other names.
GCGGGAAUAGCUCAGUUGGUAGAGCACAACCUUGCCAAGGUUGGGGUCGCGAGUUCAAGUCUCGUUUCCCGCUCCA